GCGAGCGAAAAGAAAACAGUUCAGCACUAAGUCAUUUUGUCUUUAUGGCAAAUAUGAGAUGCAGUGUAUGGAACAUCUAUAAUCUAAUAUGAAAAAUUAAUGAUUUAAGUCCUUCUUAAAUGAGGCCAUUUACCCAUAGAGGGUGCCAGGCCCGUGUAACAUUAAUGAUUAUUAGAAGAUGUUUCCAAAGAGUCGUGUUGCUUGAUAGUGCAGCACUAAGUUGGUGGUAAACUCCAUCUAAAACUAAAUAUAACCAUGAGACCGAUAGUAAACAAGUACCGUGAGGGAAAGUUGAAAAGAACUCUGAAUAGAGAGUUAAAUAGUACGUGAAACUGCUUAGAGGUUAAGCCCGAUGAACCUGAAUAUCCGUUAUGAAAAAUACAACAUUAUAUAUCUUAUAAUAUUAAUAGUAUAUUAUAGAAAUAGUGUGCAUUUUUUUCAUAUAAGGACAUUGUAAUCUAUUAACAUAUAUUUAUAUAUUUAUCAAAAAGUCAUUGGGAUAUAAGUUUAUUUGAAUUGAUUUGUAUUUAUACAUUUUAAUGAUAAUAAAUACCUAUGAUUUGAUAAAGUGUUGAUAGAUUUUAUAAUAUAGUGCUUAAAUUUAAUAAAUUUUGUAAUAAUAUAAUCGUCUUAUGAUUUUUAUAUUUAUUACAUGCGCUAAUAUGAUUAACAAUGCGAUAGAUUCAGGAUACCUUCGGGACCCGUCUUGAAACACGGACCAAGGAGUCUAACAUAUGUGCAAGUCAUUGGGAUUAAUUUAAUUUAAACCCAAAGGCGUAAUUAACUUAAAUUUUUUAUAUAUGGGAUUAGUUAUUAAUUUAUUUAUAAAUUAUUAAUUCAAUCCCGGGGCGUUCUAUAUAGUUAUGUAAUUUAUAAUAUUUAUAUUAUUUAUAACCUCUAACUGGAGCGUACCUUGAGCAUAUAUGUUGUGACCCGAAAGAUGGUGAACUAUACUUGAUCAGGUUGAAGUCAGGGGAAACCCUGAUGGAAGACCGAAACAGUUCUGACGUGCAAAUCGAUUGUCAGAAUUGAGUAUAGGGGCGUAAGACUAAUCGAACCAUCUAGUAGCUGGUUCCCUCCGAAGUUUCCCUCAGGAUAGCUGGUGCAUUUAAAAAUUAUGUAAAAUAAUCCUAUAUGGUAAAGCGAAUGAUUAGAGGCCUUAGGGUCGAAACGACCUUAACCUAUUCUCAAACUUUAAAUGGGUAAGAACCUCACCUUUCUUGAUAUGAAGGUUGAGGUUGUGAUAUAAUGUGCCCAGUGGGCCACUUUUGGUAAGCAGAACUGGCGCUGUGGGAUGAACC
Molecule: ribosomal RNA, 1301 nt
Filed under: Pseudoconops antennatus
Lineage: Eukaryota; Metazoa; Arthropoda; Insecta; Diptera; Conopidae
Description: eukaryotic LSU rRNA
Rfam family: Eukaryotic large subunit ribosomal RNA
Source: RNAcentral